AGUGGGUCCACAUGCUAGAGCAUAAUGGUAUGCUGCAGAACAAAGAGAUCCUGAGGUUGGGCCUUUGCACAGUGAAUUUUGUGACCAGGGCCACUGGGCUUUGACACACUGGGGUUCGGUGGCAGCUGAGAGGGGAUUUUGUAGAUGGCAGUGGUGCUUAAAACUGGGGGCUUAAGAACCUAAGCCGCUUUUUGGGGCCCGAAAGAACUCAAGAGAUGACAUACUCGCAGUCCAGAGUUGCUCACAAACUCGAGGAGUAAUCUCUUCCUAAAUGUAUAGCAUUCUGCUUUGAAGAACAGUGUGGCUCUUCAUGAGAAAAUUACUUUCACUGAGCAACAGAGUGUAUACAAAUGAAUUUACAGCUGCCAUGACCCCAGGAGACAGCCAUUUUUCCAUACCUCCUCACAGCAAACAACCAUUGGAAUUGUACCAUUUGUAACGUGGAGCAGGAUUUCCUUGGACAUUGCAGUCAAUCAGGGCACUCUUCCCUUCCUUGACUGUAAUAUGAUCAAUUAUGGAGAUAAUCACAGUCAAAUGUGAAGAAUAUCUACUUUGAAAAUACAUCGUCAAGAGUGCGGAAGGUUUCCUGAGGAGUGCUAAAUACUUUCCAGCGUGCAAGGGUCAGGCAUUUCUGAAAAAUCCUAAACAGUGUUUUGGACUUGGGGCUUGGCAACAAAUGUUUUCAGACACACAAAAGACAACAAGGUAACUAAACAUUGUAGGAAAUCCUCUUCUGUCUGCGCCAAAGUGCUAUUAGAGAGGAACAAAGAAUGGAAAUGCAAAAUAGGUUCUGAUUAAGACCUCCACAGCUGCAGAUUGAAUCUGAUCCUCCAGUCCUCACUCAGUUCCAAGUUUCCAUUGAGUUCAUUAGGCCCAAACCCAGCAUCCUGAAAUGUUUUCUGACCUCUCCUCAAAUCCCAACAGCUGAAGCAGUACACUUUAAGUACACAAAUUAAUCCCAUCCUUUUUAUGAGACCCAAUAACUGUGAUGUGAGCAUUUUUGUCACUGAAUGGGGAAAAAUUACAAAUGAUUAAUCUUUGUCACUGUAAAUAAUGUAUUUAUUUCUGUCUUUGGCAUAUGAACCGACACAUUUGUAUAAGCCAAUUAUUAAAUUAAUCAUACUUCAAGUCUAAACAAGUUUUUAAAAAAGUCUACUUGUAUGGCCAAAUUAUCUCCUUCCUGUGGAAAGGGGAAAGAACUUCUUUAGCUGUGCUGUGUUACUCCUGGGGAGUAUUAGUCGGGACAGAGAGAAGAUAUGAUCACUUACUAGGAUGAAAUCUGAAGAUCCAUAAGGAAUCUUAGCAUUCACUCCAGGGCUCUUGGCACACACAUGUGCAGCAUCUGCCCCUCCACAUGCUGUUCUGGGCAACCUUUCUCACAGCAACACAUCUGC
Molecule: long non-coding RNA, 1394 nt
Organism: Dermochelys coriacea (leatherback sea turtle)
Lineage: Eukaryota; Metazoa; Chordata; Testudines; Dermochelyidae
Exons: 6
Source: RefSeq, a predicted model, not a curated record